UGUGUUCACUACUGUAAGUCGCUCUGGUUAAGAGUGUCUGCUAAAUGACUCUUU
Salmo salar (Atlantic salmon) is the source of this 54-nucleotide non-coding RNA. The record is from Rfam. NCBI's taxonomy places the organism in Eukaryota, Metazoa, Chordata, Actinopteri, Salmoniformes, Salmonidae.